Molecule: non-coding RNA, 30 nt
Filed under: Homo sapiens (human)
Lineage: Eukaryota; Metazoa; Chordata; Mammalia; Primates; Hominidae
Source: RNAcentral
UGCCUUUCUGUUGUAAUUGAUGCCAAUAAC